AUGAAUGGGGUUUCUGAAGGUCUGAUCAUCGGUACCACGGUUGGUGUGGUGAUAGGGGUGCUGCUGGCAGUUGGAAUACUCCUGUGCAUGAGGUAUCGGCGUUCUCAGGCGCAAAUAAGGAGCAGUAGCUCGAGGAGGUCAUCGACUAUCCCCAUCCGUGCAAAUGGUGUUAAUACAUGUGCAGAGCUGUCGAACUCAACUACAGGGCAGGAAUCGCCGAGAGAGUUUGAAGAUCGUGGACCAUCCCUGUGGAUUGAAGGACCUGGAAGGAAGAGCCUAAUAUCAGCUUCUGGGAUACCCAAAUAUGCGUACAAGGAACUGCAGAAAGCUACCAGCAAUUUCACAAAACUGUUGGGCCAAGGAGCCUUUGGUCCUGUUUACAAAGCUGACAUGUCAUCUGGUGAGAUAUUGGCUGUUAAAGUACUUGCUAACAAUUCAAAGCAAGGUGAAAAGGAGUUCCAAAAUGAGGUCUUACUUCUUGGGCGAUUGCACCACAGGAAUCUGGUGAACUUGGUUGGUUACUGUGCUGAAAAGGGGCAACACAUUCUGUUAUAUGCAUACAUGCCUAAUGGGAGCCUAGCAUCACACUUAUAUGGUGAAAACAGUGCACCACUGAGGUGGGAUUUGAGGGUAAAUAUAGCUCUAGAUGUUGCUAGGGGGUUGGAAUACCUACAUGAUGGGGCUGUUCCUCCGGUGGUUCAUCGAGACAUCAAAUCACCAAACAUUUUACUGGAUCAGUCCAUGCAUGCUAGGGUUGCCGACUUUGGAUUGUCAAGAGAAGAAAUGCUUACUAGAAACGGGGCCAACAUACGUGGAACUUAUGGAUAUCUUGAUCCGGAGUACGUGUCCUCACGAUCAUUCACAAAGAAGAGUGAUGUGUACAGCUACGGUGUUCUGCUAUUUGAACUGAUCGCUGGCAGAAACCCUCAACAAGGUUUAAUGGAAUAUGUUGAGCUUGCUGCAAUCAACGCUGAUGGCAAGACUGGGUGGGAGGAAAUUGCCGACUCUCGGUUAGAAGGCGCAUUUGACGUGGAGGAGCUCAAUGACAUGGCUGCCGCAGCUUACAAAUGUGUAAGCCGUGUCUCCCGAAAGCGACCAUCGAUGCGGGAUGUUGUCCAGGCACUGAUCCGGGUGGCAAAACACAGCCACAGUAGCAGGAACCAUCAUGGCAGGAGGCUUCCACCGGGCAGGACGGAUGACGAAUCUGUUGACCUUGAGGCAUCAGAGGGUCAGUCAUCUGCCUCUGGCCAUCAGAGACAGGAAUCGGUUGGCAGUGUCUCUGAACUUCCGGACGUCUGA
Molecule: ribosomal RNA, 1299 nt
Filed under: Triticum aestivum (bread wheat)
Lineage: Eukaryota; Viridiplantae; Streptophyta; Magnoliopsida; Poales; Poaceae
Description: partial small subunit ribosomal RNA
Source: RNAcentral